Non-coding RNA from Auriculariales sp. MPI-PUGE-AT-0066, 91 nucleotides. Lineage: Eukaryota; Fungi; Basidiomycota; Agaricomycetes; Auriculariales. The record is from the annotation of a GenBank genome assembly.
GGGCGUGUGGCACAGUGGUAGCGCGCUUGCUUCGCAUUUCCGCAAGGAGAUUGAUUGCAUGAGGCCUCCGGUUCAAUCCCGGACUCGUCCA